Molecule: ribosomal RNA, 839 nt
Filed under: uncultured Micrococcus sp.
Lineage: Bacteria; Bacillati; Actinomycetota; Actinomycetes; Micrococcales; Micrococcaceae
Description: bacterial SSU rRNA
Rfam family: Bacterial small subunit ribosomal RNA
Source: RNAcentral
CCCCCUGGCGGGGUGCUUACCAUGCAGUCGAACGAUGAAGCCCAGCUUGCUGGGUGGAUUAGUGGCGAACGGGUGAGUAACACGUGAGUAACCUGCCCUUAACUCUGGGAUAAGCCUGGGAAACUGGGUCUAAUACCGGAUAGGAGCGCCUACCGCAUGGUGGGUGUUGGAAAGAUUUAUCGGUUUUGGAUGGACUCGCGGCCUAUCAGCUUGUUGGUGAGGUAAUGGCUCACCAAGGCGACGACGGGUAGCCGGCCUGAGAGGGUGACCGGCCACACUGGGACUGAGACACGGCCCAGACUCCUACGGGAGGCAGCAGUGGGGAAUAUUGCACAAUGGGCGAAAGCCUGAUGCAGCGACGCCGCGUGAGGGAUGACGGCCUUCGGGUUGUAAACCUCUUUCAGUAGGGAAGAAGCGAAAGUGACGGUACCUGCAGAAGAAGCACCGGCUAACUACGUGCCAGCAGCCGCGGUAAUACGUAGGGUGCGAGCGUUAUCCGGAAUUAUUGGGCGUAAAGAGCUCGUAGGCGGUUUGUCGCGUCUGUCGUGAAAGUCCGGGGCUUAACCCCGGAUCUGCGGUGGGUACGGGCAGACUAGAGUGCAGUAGGGGAGACUGGAAUUCCUGGUGUAGCGGUGGAAUGCGCAGAUAUCAGGAGGAACACCGAUGGCGAAGGCAGGUCUCUGGGCUGUAACUGACGCUGAGGAGCGAAAGCAUGGGGAGCGAACAGGAUUAGAUACCCUGGUAGUCCAUGCCGUAAACGUUGGGCACUAGGUGUGGGGACCAUUCCACGGUUUCCGCGCCGCAGCUAACGCAUUAAGUGCCCCGCCUGGGGAGUACGG